CAAACUAUAUUUUCCCGUAGAAGUUGCUCUUCCUGUGUUACAACCAGGGCUUGUUGUAUAUAAAUGCAGCACAUGCAUACCAGGGCCUACCACAGUCUUCACACUCAGAUGUUGCUUAGUAAUGGGAGGUGAAAGCAAAAGACCCAUUCCAGCUUAUUUAGCUGACAGCAUAGUUUAGAGCAACUGUUUGCUGAUGGGUUAUUUCUACAGCUCUCUACACGUAACAGUAAAUUCCACGUUUUGGCCUCUCCUGUUCCUGCCACACUCCUGUGAGGGAAUUUAUGAGAGGACCAGGCCUGGGCCUGCGACAGCUGUAUGCUAAAGAGAGAUGAGUGGAGGCAGAAUGUGGCUGCAUUCACCAAUCAGGGGAGGAAACUCUUGCCUGGAAUGGGCCCUGCAGCAUUUUUGGCUACAUUUCCCAAGUCGUUCCUGAUAACAGUGAAGCCUACGUUGUGACUGAAACUUUAAAUAUACCUUCUGGUCAUUCACUGGAACACAAAGGAAUUUAGGGGAUAAAAUUAACACGUGAUCUGUUAUACAUUUUUGGACUGUAUUGGACAUAUUUUGGGUUUGUGCUUAGAGAGUAUGGAGAAGACCUUUUAAAAGGAGGUAGGCCUCACUGUCUUCAUCUAAACAGGUCAUCUAGCUUGUGUAUUUUCUGCAUAUGUCUGUGCCUUCUCCCUCCUCAUCAGCUCCUCCCUCCAGGGUGAAAGAAUGACAGUAUGGCUGAUGGCACCACAGCUGAUUUAAAAGCUAUUAGCAGAAUAAACCCCCUUAAAGAAAAAGAUGCAGAAAACAGGCUGUGAGAUAAACUAUUUGUGCAACCUUCAGUGGAAGUGUGAGGGGAAGACCAAGAAAAUCAAAGACAUGAAAAGUAAAAAGUGUGAGAUCUCAUAAAAACAUGCAGAUGAGUGCAGCAUGUGUGUAUUUUUGGAACUGCUCUGGGUCCUUCUGGUUGACAACUCUGCCAUCAACUACAUCAUCUGGUUCCCUCCACACACUUGGUGUGAUCUGCAAAGUUGAAGGAAGAGCACUUUAUUACCUCAUUCAAGUUAUUGGUAGAGACGUUAAACAGGACAGUUAUAUGUGCAACAUUUGUGUUUCAAUAAUUCAAGUAGCUCAUUGAAUCUUCCUGCUUCUGAAACCCCCAGUUUGUUCUUAAUUCUGACCAGUUAAAUAGAUUUGGACCAAGGCAAAUUGAUGGGCUGUAUUGUAACACCAGAAAAUGUCUUUACUUCACUGAAAAUGUUGCAUGAAUGAGGGCUGAAAGAUUCUGUCCAAUAUGUGGUUCAUAAUAUAGGGCAGGUUUUCAGCAAAAGAAUUUCAAGAAAAGCUCUAGUUCAGCAAAUGCAUAAAAGCAAGUCCUUUGAUUUCCAUAGCUGUAGAGUAUAGUAUUGGCAUGGUGAGCUUGGUGUAUAAUUAUUUCUAAGAAUGAAUGCUAUUAAAGUUGAAAUAAAAGAUCUCUAUGAGAAAAUAUGAGCUCUAAAAUGUGAGUGCUACAUUCUACGGAUUGUCAUUAUUUUGAAGCCUUAAAAUAAAUAAAUGUUUCCAGAAGCAAACGCAUAC
Molecule: long non-coding RNA, 1566 nt
Organism: Cygnus olor (mute swan)
Lineage: Eukaryota; Metazoa; Chordata; Aves; Anseriformes; Anatidae
Exons: 3
Source: RefSeq, a predicted model, not a curated record